CUCCUGGUUCAAGCGAUUCUCCUGCCUCGGCUUCCUGAGUAGCUGGGAUUACAGAAGAACAAAAUAGUGUAUAGACAGUGACACUUCAAAUACAUUACCCAAGAGUAUUUGCUGGAAUUCAACAGAGAAGUGACAGGAAACACCAAAUGUGGAGAAGGAGAAAGGAGAGACACAGCCCGCUGGUCAGGAUCAGCUGGGAGCCAGGAGUGACUUCCCAACAUAGAGGAUACAGAGAAAACUGCAGAAGACCCAGAAAAGCACAUCACGGCAGCCUAAAAGUUCCACAUCUUUCACUUGCAGAAAAGCCUUCAGAUCUGUUUUUACUUAAAGAGAAGUGACAUGUCCAACCUCCCACCGAGACAAGUGUGUCUUCUCAGAGUGUGAGGAGCACAAAGGCAUCACAGAAUCUGUGCUGGGGGAGAAGAUGCAGUUCAAGGAGGAGAAGCUGGCAGAGAAGUCGACACAAGCUGAGGAGCUCAGGUGAUACAAAGCCCUAGUUCACUCUCAGGCACUAGAGCUGACCCAGUUGAGGAAGUUACGGGAAGGGAGAGAGGCCUCCCUCUUUCUCAGUCAGCAUCUCAAGGCCCUUCUCACUGAUGAUGACCCUGACAACCACCAGGGGCAGGACCUCCGAGAGCAGCUGGCUGAGGGGCGCAGGCUGGCAGAGUGCCUUGUCCGCAAGCUCAGCCCAGGGAGGUACAGGAAGCUGAAGAAAAGGAAGUCCCUCAGAAUUCACUGGAGGAAUAUUCUGCCACUUGUUCAGUUUGCCGUGACCCUUCUGACUCCCCCCUGCCUCAGAGGUGUGCCAAAAUCACACCUGAGGAAGAGAAAGUCGACUCUGCUCUGGAUGUAGGCAGUGAAUCGCCACAUUACAAAGGGGAAGAGGAAGUGCUAAACAUUCUCCCAGAAAAUCAAAAUGAUAAUGAAGAAGAG
Macaca mulatta (Rhesus monkey) is the source of this 933-nucleotide non-coding RNA. NCBI's taxonomy places the organism in Eukaryota, Metazoa, Chordata, Mammalia, Primates, Cercopithecidae. The record is from RefSeq and is a predicted model, not a curated record.